AUCGCUUCUCGGCCUUUUGGCUAAGAUCAAGUGUAGUAUCUGUUCUUAUCAGUUUAAUAUCUGAUACGCCCUCUAUAUGAGGGCUCUAUAUUAAACGGAUUUUUAGAGCUGGGAGCUGGAAAAGGGGCUUGCUCCGUCCGAUCCACGCAUCGGCCUGGUAUUGCAGUACCUCCGGGAACGGUGCACCCCUC
Molecule: small nuclear RNA, 191 nt
Organism: Hemibagrus wyckioides
Lineage: Eukaryota; Metazoa; Chordata; Actinopteri; Siluriformes; Bagridae
Product: U2 spliceosomal RNA
Exons: 1
Source: RefSeq, a predicted model, not a curated record